GAUGAACGCUGGCGGCGUGCCUAAUACAUGCAAGUCGAGCGAACGGACGAGAAGCUUGCUUCUCUGAUGUUAGCGGCGGACGGGUGAGUAACACGUGGAUAACCUACCUAUAAGACUGGGAUAACUUCGGGAAACCGGAGCUAAUACCGGAUGAUCUUUUGAACCGCAUGGUUCAAAAGUGAAAGACGGUCUUGCUGUCACUUAUAGCUGGAUCCGCGCUGCAUUAGCUAGUUGGUAAGGUAACGGCUUACCAAGGCAACGAUGCAUAGCCGACCUGAGAGGGUGAUCGGCCACACUGGAACUGAGACACGGUCCAGACGCCUACGGGAGGCAGCAGUAGGGAAUCUUCCGCAAUGGGCGAAAGCCUGACGGAGCAACGCCGCGUGAGUGAUGAAGGUCUUCGGAUCGUAAAACUCUGUUAUUAGGGAAGAACAUAUGUGUAAGUAACUGUGCACAUCUUGACGGUACCUAAUCAGAAAGCCACGGCUAACUACGUG
RNAcentral lists this ribosomal RNA (497 nucleotides) under uncultured bacterium. RNAcentral describes it as "partial 16S ribosomal RNA". It matches the Rfam family "Bacterial small subunit ribosomal RNA", at positions 28 to 507 of the family's 1533-position model. The record is from RNAcentral.